GAUGAAGAACGUAGCGAAAUGCGAUAAGUAGUGUGAAUUGCAGAAUUCAGUGAAUCAUCGAAUCUUUGAACGCACAUUGCGCCCCCUGGUAUUCCGGGGGGCAUGCCUGUUCGAACGUCAUUUCACCACUCAAGCCUCGCUUGGUAUUGGGCAACGCGGUCCGCCGCGUGCCUCAAAUCGACCGGCUGGGUCUUCUGUCCCCUAAGCGUUGUGGAAACUAUUCGCUAAAGGGUGUUCGGGAGGCUACGCCGUAAAACAACCCCAUUUCUAAGGUUGACCUCGGAUCAGGUAGGGAUACCCGCUGAACUUAAGCAUAUCAAUAAGCGGAGGA
This 331-nucleotide unclassified non-coding RNA is filed under the name soil metagenome. RNAcentral's name for it is "partial contains 5.8S ribosomal RNA, internal transcribed spacer 2, and large subunit ribosomal RNA". The stretch from base 1 to 120 matches the Rfam family "5.8S ribosomal RNA", at positions 35 to 154 of the family's 154-position model. The record is from RNAcentral.